This is a long non-coding RNA of Triticum aestivum (bread wheat), 11494 nucleotides long. RefSeq lists it as uncharacterized. The transcript is spliced from 2 exons. Lineage: Eukaryota; Viridiplantae; Streptophyta; Magnoliopsida; Poales; Poaceae. The record is from RefSeq and is a predicted model, not a curated record.
AAGCUACGCUCCUGAAUACAAUGUGAUAUAAAAGGUUCAUGAAAUCAUCAGGUAUGGAAAUGCUUGACCGUUUUUGUAAAUUACUUAGUACAAUAUUAUCAGUUUGUUUUUUGCAUUAUUUCCCAGUUCUCUUGCAGUACUAUUCAACAACCUAUCUUCCUGCCUACUAGAUAAAAGAGGGGUUUUGUUUACUUAACAUGGUUGCCUGAUUAACAUAGUCAUGGUUUCGGUUAGUUAUUUUUUCCACUACCGAAGCAACAACUUAUCUUCCUACCUACCAGAUAUACUACUCCUUGAUUGCUUAGCACCCGGCUUAAGAAGCUCCACCAUUCUUUUAUAUGAUAUUAGAAAAAAUUGAGUUCUAACUUUGUUGAAAGACACGCACAGUUCUGAUGUUCUGGGGCCAAUGUUCAUUUCUAGAGGCAAAUACUCUCGGAUUUCUUAGUGAACUAUAAUCCCAUCUAGAUAACCCCCCUCGAUAUAGCUCCCUUUAUUUGCACGACACAAUCUAGCAUAUGACGGCUCUGAUUUGGAUUGUGCGUGUUUCUCCAAAAACUAGGAUUAUAUGCCUGAGAACAAACAAAUAGCGUUAUAAACUUACCUCAAAGCCUAUGGGUUGACUGAAGCUUGAUAAAUAGUUUCAGAUGCACUAUGGUCUCAUAACAGUAGAAAUAAACUUCAAGGGAAAGAGAACCAUAAGUAUAGGUGACUGCAUAGUAGAAGACGUGUAAUCGUGUUGCACUAUACUGUCUUUAUAGAAGCCGACAAAAUCAGAGACAUCCUAAAUUUGGUUUUCUGUUCUUGUCAGUUAAGAAAAGAAACAUUAACUCUUGGAUUAUCAGUAAGGGAAUAUGCCUUAUUAGCAUACUCUUAUGGUGGUUAUUAUUGCUCAACGUUGUGAGGAAAAAGAAGAAUAUUCAGAUUUUUCUAUUUGUGGUUAUAUCUUUUGGAUAAACAAUAGAAGGGUAAACUGCGAAGAAGAAACAUAACGACCACCAGUAGUUAUAUCUUUAUUUUGAAUUAAACUAAAGUUGACAUGAUAGCAAUAUUUUAGAAUAUUCAGAUUUUUUCAAUAUUUAUGGUGAUUAUAUCUUUUGCACAUUAACUCUGAAACUGAACUAUUUGUGUCGGGCCAGAGAAGCGUAAUUUCAAUACAAACUGCAAUUGCUUGGGCAAGAGAAAUCAACUCAAUACUACAAUUUUCCAUAUGAUGUAGUAAGAGGGGGCGUACCAUUGUAAACCGAUGUAGGGUGAAGGCUAGCCGCAUCUUUGGCGUGUGGUCAAACCCGGCAAGCUGCAACUAUGUGGAGCAUCCACAUUACUGCCACCACAUGCUUGCUAAAACAGUUAAUAUGUUCGUCCCCGUACAUCGGCCACAUCUUCGGCGAGCAUGCUUGAUGCCAAAAUCGGGCAACUAUUGUUGUAUUGAGUAUCCAGAGAUGAUAACCGUCAUGAAAAUCACUGCAUGGAUCGAUGAUAUCCCACACGGUCUUUUUGCAUCAAAAGCGUGACCCACUUUGGAUAAGAAUACACCAACCAUUUUGGUAAUGGGCAUCUCAACAGUUCUAUUUGGGCCUUAUUCCCCUAAUACGCUAGUAAUUGUCUCCUUUCCUGUAUUUCUCUUAGUCUCACUCCCAAACACUUCAUGAUCUGAGAGAGGGAAUGCCAACAGCCAUGGCGGCAGUGUCCCCUCCGUCCGUUCAUGCAACUUGAGAGGCUCUAGCGAUGACGCAUGAGGGGCAUUGUCGUCACUAAGUUUGCCACCAUCCUAGUCGCGACGACAAUGCGACAGAGCAUAUAGUGGAGGGCAGAGAAAGACAGUCGAGGGAAAUGGCUUCAUCAGAAGAAUCCACAACACGCGGAUGACCAGUGUAGUAGAGAAGAGGAUGAGGGGGAAUUACUGGGGAAGCCCAAGGGGACAAGCCAAGUGAGGUAGCCUCAGGUAAUGAACAAGGCGGGGAAGUCGCAGGUGAUGACGAACUUGAUAAAGAAGAUAUUAGAGGUAGAAGAAACUUCAAUCCCUAGGAAGUAGCGAAGAGGACCAAGAUUAGACAUAAGAAAUCCACUAUGAUGAGCCUUCACAAUGGCAAAUGUACUUAGAGCCAUUGCUAGUGUUAUCGGCAUAUAGAAGAGUUCGACCAUGAGUUGAGAGGUGGACAAGUGUAGGAUUAUGAGCACUCGCCGAAAACUAGCCGUAGUCACCAUCGAGACGAAACGUUCAAACCAGGCAUGGAGGUUUGGUUAAGGCCAUAAAAAAGUGACGAAGACGACAAACCAUGUCAUCAAGAAGAGAAUACCCAUGUGGUGGUUACAUGUAGACCUCAUACAACUCAACAUUAAGGAAGGCAUUCCUGACAUCAAGCCGAGAGACAGACCAGUGGCGAACAUAAGCCACAAUGAGAAGUGUGCAAAGGCCACGGGAGCAAAUGCUCAUUGUAGUCUUGGCCAUGUUCCCGAGGAAAGCCUUGCGCCACUAGAUGAGCUUUGUAACACUCAAGAGAACCAUCAGUGUAUUAACAUUAUAGACACACUUACAAGCGAUUGGACGAGCACGGGGAGGAAGAGAAAUGACGUCCCACGUGUCGAUGCGCACAAGAGCAACAAUCUCCUCUACAAUCGCAUGCCGCCAUUCGGGAUGAACAAAUGCGUCAUGAUAAGAAGUUGUCUUGAGAAAAGCGGCGCCAGAAUAACCAUAGUGGUCAAUAGGCGGAAGCGAGAGCUCGAAAGCCAUAAGUAGGCUGAGCUGGAGGCGAUGCAUUGCCAACAGGAGAGGGCAUUGUAGUAGAGGGAGAUGGCUUGUCAGAAGGAUCCAUGACACACGGACCACAAGUGUAGUGAAGAAGAUGAUGAAGGGGAAUCAUCGGGGAAGCCUCGUGGACGAGCCAGGUGAGGUAGCCUCAAGUAAUGAACGAGGUGGGGAAGCCGCAUGUGACGAUGUGUGGGGUCUAUAACAGUAGUACGGGAGGACACGCUGGGAUAGGUGGGCGAGGGCAAUAAAUGAGUGAUAAGUGUAUCGGGUAAAUUGAGGGAAGCAUCCUCAAUUGGGGGGGGGGGCAAAGCAGAGGAUGGACGUGCAUAAAAAGGAUGACACUCAAUGAGAAGUCACAUCUCGAGAAAUGCGCAUCCGAUGACUGACAAGAUCCCAACACUGAUAGCCCUUGUGCUCAUCACUGUAACCUAAGAAGACAUUCAACAGAUUGAUCAGACAGUUUGGUGCGUGAAGAACGUAGCAAACACAACCAAACAAAGUGUUUAGUACUCCAUCCGUCCGAAAAUACUUGUCAGAGAAAUGGAUGCAUCUAGACAUACUAUAGUUCUAGAUACAUCCAUUUUUAUCCAUUGGGGGGGGGGGAAGCAGAGGAUGGACGUGCGUAAAAAGGACGAGAUUCAAUGAGAAGUCACAUCUCGAGAAAUGCGCAUCCGACGACUGACAAGAUCCCAACACCGAUAGCCCUUGUCCUCAUCACUGUAACCUAAGAAGGCAUUCAAUAGAUUGAUCGAACAGUUUUGGUGCAUGAAGAACGUAGCAAAGGCAACCAAACAAAGUGUUUAGUAAUCCAUCCGUCCGAAAAUACAUGUCGGAGAAAUGGAUGUAUGUAGACAUAUUUCAGUUCUAGAUACAUCCAUUUUUGUCCAUUUGUGCGACAAGCAAUUCCGGACUCGGAGUUGUCAAGGGAAUGCCCACAAAGACGCUCGGAAUGUCACCAUGUAGAGCAAAGGAGGGAUGAUUAUUGAUGAGAUAGGUGGCUACGAUCAUCAACGCACUAGCCGCCUCAUGAAGUUCGCGAUGCUUGCGCUUAGCAACACCAUUCUGACCACGAGCACAAGACGAGAACUGAGCAAGUGUGCUUUUCUCAACAAGGAAUUCGUGCAGCAAAUGAGGGAUAUACACGAAAGGCAUGGAUAUGAGUGGAAAACCGAGUAUGAACCAAGGCGGCAAACUUCUUACAGAUAGACCUCACUACAAGAAGGCAUAAAAUAUAUCGACUUGUAUCGAGGGGAAUCAUUAUAAAGAUAAUAUAGUGGCGAUGGCCUCCUUUCAAGGCAAAGGCAGCUGGAUCCCAAACAUCAGAGUGAACAAGAUCGAAAGGACGCCGAGACAGAGUCUCGCUCUAAGGAUAAGGUAAUUGAACGUGUUUACCCAACUAACAAUCUUGACUGCCUAAAGACACAUUACCAGAGACAGAUCCAUGGAGACCACGUCGAACUAAGGGUGAGAGUCAAGAACCACACAUGCGGCUGCGACGAUCAUGCCAGAACGAGUGGGUAGACGAGGUAAGUGAGUCGAAGAGACUGGCGGCGGUGGUAGCGGAGGGAAGGCGAAGCUUGGCACACUCCAGAGGGUGUGUGACUCAUAGCGCCGAGGGCCAACACCAAGUAGAGAACCCAUGUGCCGAUCCUAAAUCAGAACAAGACUCGAAGUCGAGAAUGACCCUACAACCAAAUUAAAAAUCUAUCCUCCUGAAAUGAGCUGCCUGUUAAGUAUCAUUGGCAGUAAGAACAUGUACAUAAGAAUUUAGAGGGCCAUUGCGGUGUCGACUGCCUGUGCGGCUAUGGCGGCGUGCAGCAGGUAACACGAGAUGUGGGAUUGAGGCGUCACACAUAGCAGCCCAAAGUCAGGCGAAGGAUGCCCAGUUGGACUGGUAGGGAGCAGAGAGUACACGUGAGGUGUGGGGGAAGGUAUGAAAACAUUGUUGGGAGCGGAUUGUUGUUGUCGUCGUUUGUUGUACUUGGAGACAAGCGUCGAGGGGAUGGCGAUUGGGGAAGGCGAGAAGAUGGCACUGGGAGGAGAAAGGCAUCAUUUGCCACCGUACAUACAUAUGUGCGUCUGUCAUGACAGUGGACGGUUGUGGGCAAAUCUAGUAUCUACAUGUGGGUUUGUUACUAGGCUUGGUUGGAUCAUAGUUAUGAUUUGUGCUAGAUUCCUUCCUUUGAAGAUUGAAGCUGGAGAACUUUAGGGUGUAGUAUGAUCAACCUGAGAUAUAUCAGAUUUAUAUAGGUAUAGUAUGGUUGGCAUGAGUGUGGUAUUGGUGGACUAUUGGAUCAUCUUGGAUAUUACUACUUGGAUUCUAGGUUGGAGGUAACUUGGGCACUUGGAUUUGUGAUAUUUUGACCUAAGUUUAUGGAUAUGGGCAUGUAGAUGAUAAAUGGAUUGGAGUUGGUAGACUUUGAUGAUUUUGCUAGCCCUCCUCAUAUGUAUUGGACUUAGAUAACUAUGAUACUAGGCUUGGUUGGAUCAUAGUUAUGAUUUGUGCUGGAUUCCUUCAUUUGAAGAUUGAAGCUGGAGAACUUUAGGGUGUAGAGUUAUCAACGUGAGAUAUAUCGGAUUUAUAUAGGUAUAGUAUGAUUGAAAUGAGUGUGCUAUUGGUGGACUAUUGGAUCAUCUUGGAUAUUGUUACUUGGAUUCUAGGUUUAAGAUAAUUUGGGCACUUGGAUUUGUGAUAUUUUGACCUAAGCUUAGUAGUUUGUAUGUGCCCCAUAUGAAUAUGAGCCACGGAGAUGAUACAAAUGGAUCGGAGUUGGUAGACUUCGAUGAUUUUGCUAACCCUCCCCAAAAAUGUUCAUGUACAAGAUCAUCAUGGUCGUGGAGGGAAAACUAGGCAUGACUCAACCCAAUGUAUAAGAAGAAAUAUGAUUUUGACCAUGCGAAUGGAAAUACAUGUACAUGCAGUGCCAACGGAAAAAAUGUUAAUUUAGUGGAUUCUGGUACGAAGCCACCUUGCAAGAGGUUAUUGAGUGCAGGCAACCCUGCGUUGGUGAAGGACCCUUCCUUGGCGCCGGAGGAAAUGAAGAGACAGGGGUCUUAAGACUAUGAGGGAAAAAUUGGGACGAGUGACUCAGCUCAGGGUUCCUCUUUGCAAGUUCAAGUGAAAAGGCAGAGGAUGGCAGGGCGUGCUGCUCUUGAUAGCGUUUGCAUCGCUUCUUCAUACCUCUCGUGCACUCCUCGUUUCCCGUCGAUUCGACUUGGCGUCCUUACCUUGUUUGAGGGUUAUGUGUCACGGACUUGGUUCCGCAUCCCACGUUCCCUUGCUAGGAGUCCCUAGCCUUGGCGACAGGUAGCGACGUGCACUUGGGCGCUUGGCGUCCUUGGGUAAGUUCGGGGGUGGUGCCCAAGCUUGCAGCUAUGGCGACAACUUGCAUGGGAGCAGAUGAUGUAGGAACAAGGCAGCACACGAGUAACUCGCAGCCAGGGAAAUGAUACCUAGCCGGACAUGCAGGCAGUGGAGAGUACACAGGAGGUGUGGGUAGGGGUGAAAACGCUGCCGGGAGCUGCUGCCGUUAGUUAGCCUUUAGAUCCAGAGCUGAGUGGCGAGGGUAUGAUCAACCUAAGAUAUAUCGGAUUUAUAUAUGUAUAGUAUGGUUGGCAUGAGUGCGGUAUUGGUGGACUAUUAGAUCAUCUUGGACAUUACUACUUGGAUUCUAGGUUGGAGGUAACUUGGGCACUUGGAUUUGUGAUAUUUUGACCUAAGCUUAGUAGCUUGUAUAUGCCCCAUUGGAUCAUCUUGGAUAUUACUAGGAUUCUAGGUUGGAGAUAACUUGGGCACUUGGAUUUGUGAUAUUUUGACCUAAGCUUAGUAGCUUGUAUGUGCCCCAUAUUUGAUAUGAGCAUGGAGAUGAUACAAAUGGAUCUUAGUUGGUAGACUUCGAUGAUUUUGCUAGCCCUCCCCAUAUGUAUUGGACUUAGAUAACUAUGAUACUAGGCUUGGUUGGAUUAUAAUUAUGAUUUUUGCUAGAUUCCUGUGAAGAUUGAAGCUGGAGAACUUUAGGGUGUAGUAUGAUCAACUUGAGAUAUAUCAGAUUUAUAUAGGUAUAUAUGAUUGGCAUGAGUGUGGUAUUGCUGGACUAUUGGAUCAUCUUGGAUAUCACUACUUGGAUUCUAGGUUGGAGGUAACUUGGGCCCUUGGAUUUGUGAUAUUUUGACCUAAGCUUAGUAGCUUGUAUGUGCCCCAUAUGGAUAUGAGCAUGGAGAUGAUACAAAUGGAUCGGAGAUGGUAGACUUUGAUGAUUUUGCUAACCCUCAUAUGUACCGGACUUAGAUAACUAUGAUAGUAGGCUUGGUUGGAUCAUAGUUAUGAUUUGUGCUAGAUUCCUUCCUUUGAAGAUUGAAGCUGGAAAACUUUAGGGUGUAGUAUGAUCUACCUGAGAUAUAUCGGAUUUAUAUAGGUAUAGUAGGAUUAGCAUGACUACGGUAUUGGUGGACUAUUGGGAUCAUCUUGGAUCUUGCUACUUGGAUUCUAGGUUGGAGAUAACUUGGGCACUUGGAUUUGUGAUAUUUUGACCUAAGCUUAAUAGCUUGUAUGUGCCCCAUAUGGAUAUGAGCAUGGAGUUGGUAGACUUUGAUGAUUUUGCUAACAACCCCCCCAAGAAUGAGUGUGGUGAGAUGAGAUGAUACAAAUGGAUCGGAGUGUAGACUUUGAUGAUUUUGCUAACCCUCCCCAAGAAUGUUACGAGUGCAAGAUCAUCAUGGGAGGAUGAUUUGGAUUAAUUAGAAUAGAUGGCAAUUUCAAUGGUUUUUUGCCUUUUUGGAGCAGCUGAACUCGCUUUUAUUAUGUAUUUGUGCUAGUUUAGAUGCAAUAGUAGUAGGAGGGUAGCAUAGGAGGCACACCUCCCCCUUGCCACCGUCAGGGCCGAAACCUGGCGAGAGGGAGACAUGCAUGAGCGGGUCGGGGCAGAAAGCACAAGGCUGCACUGUAGCAUCUUCAUCGGCACCUCGUUGGCGUUGUCCACCCAUGCCCUGACGACAAAGUACGAGAGGUCGAGCCUAUCGAAGGAUUCAAUGGCCAUAUGGUAGAUUAGGCAUUCGGGCAACAGUUCUUGGGUGGUUUGAGGCGAGAACUCCCGCAGGGGAUGCGUUGGAUGGACAGCCCAAUGCUGUAGCAGCAUUGAACCGAUGUGGCGAAGGUUAUCUUGUUCGACCACCACACUAGGAGCGGCGUGCCACGGUAGUGGACUGCGUCCACCCCACGAACCAUGUUGAACCACCGGCACUGCGUGAAGCUGGCGAAGAAAGAUCCUAGCUACAUGAGAGAGACCUGAAAGCCGUUUGUUCGAAAGCUCCGGGAAGUCGUCCUUAUGCCCUCAACAAUUUUUACCAGGAUUAGAGACGACCUCGUACCCGCCACCAUGAGCACCAGCGCCAAAUCCCAUAGGUAAGAACAUAUCCUCGAUGAGGCACCUCGUCUUGCGCAAGCGGGUGUUGCCCCUCGCCGGGUCGUACGCGAACCUAGCCGACAUGGAAGGCUCCAGCGACGAAAGGGCGGGUGGCUCCUUGUCGGGAAAGGUGAACCUGGAAUGAGUUGGCGAUUCGGGUGGUCGAGGGGGGGGGGGGGGGACCAGCCUGGAUUGGACUGACUAGCGGCGGCGGCAGCUGCACUCACGGCCUUGGCGGUGGUCAAGGCGGGGCUAAGAGUAGUGAUGGACUCAUUAGCGACGGCCAGGUCAUCAUGUCGGCGCGUGAAGUUCCUUCUGAAGCACAUCCUCUAGCCCAAGUGGUACAUUUGUUCAUUUGUGAUAUCUUCUGUUAGUGUUAUGUUCUCGUUGUCUCUUGCUCUGUUUCUCUUGCCCACAGGUACAUUUGUUCAUUUUCGUAGACCUGCUAUGUUCUAUUAUAAUUCGAGUUCAAAUGUCAAGUUGCGCCGCCACAAAAUGCUGCUACUUUAAGUUCUGUAAGCGCAGCGAGCAGCGUAGGCGGCCGCUGCAGCUGCUCACAUGGAACGUAUGCCCUGUUGCAGCCUUGCAGAUCAUUAUCAUCUCAUCUCACACACUCAUGCCACAUAACCUGGCGAGCUCACUCCUUACUCAUUCUAUGUACCACAUUUGUAGAUCAGUUUAAGGUACUGUUAAUGAACCAAAAGUUAAUGUUGUUGGCCUUGCCAAAAUGCCAUGAAGCUUAACAUUCGACACUUCCUUCAAAGGGGUCCUUCAGCCUCCAAGGAGAAGGGAAGUGAUGUCUGACAGGGAAAGAAACUAGGCGAAGCUCUGGAUGCUCGAUCGGGUACGCACCCAAUUAGCACUCUACUUCGUCGGUUUUCCACUGAAAUUUGCUCCAUGACAUCUUGCUUGCCAUGUGGUCUCCUUACCUCAAAAUUGACAUAUUAUAAUCUAUGAACUACUACAAGUAAACUAUACAACCAAAUGAUUGUUCCAAAAAUUCAAAUUUGCACCAUGCUUUCCACCUGAUCUGCCAGUUUAACUAUCUUAAUUGUACCGCAGACAUUUGAUGUGUGGUAGUACGUGUGUGAUGAAGCAUGGUGUAGUAGCAAACUAGCAACUGUUUCUGACAUACAUGGAUUUCUUUCUGCCUCUAUUUGAUGCUCGGUGGUGCUGAUCCGAAGGUCCGUGCGGACCCUGCUCUGGACAUAUGUCUCCUUAAUUUCCGUGUGCAAUUGUGCAAUCCAUGCUUUACACUUUAAAAUGAGAAUAAAAUUUAGCUCAUGUUGCCCUUCCAUCAUGCACCCAGAAUAUAUUACCUUUCUGCUUUUUAUAUUUUGGUUGGGCAUAUUUCAUGAUCAGAGGAUCGAUGAUUUGUGAUGAUUUGUUAUGCUAGACAAUGGAAAUAAGAUUUGGUGGAAAACAAAUGAUAUGAUAGGUGAUUUAUGAUGUACUACUAUUUUAGAUAACAAUACUAAGCUUUUAUUUGGUUGUUCUGCAUUUUUCCCUUUGCGAAGAUAGAUAUUAUAAGAGAUAAACAUCAUGUACAGGUUAACUUUUUGUGUGUGCCUUGCUGCCAAGUGGAAAUAGUCUAUAUGAUGCUCAAAAAUAGAGCUUCCUGGUGGGAAGGAUGAGGCACACUCAUUGAUACUUUGGUUUUAUAUCCAUUUGUUAUACAGUUUUUCUCUUCCAAGCAUAUAAACUUUAGCAAAUUAGAGUGUGCAAUCAAGUCUCCUAAGUGAACAUUUUUACCAUAUUAUCAAGUUUGAGGGCAUAUACGAUACGAGCAUAUAAGACAAGAGCAUGUCAUGCUACCUGAAAAUCUGCCUGGAGAUCUAAUUCCAUAUUUUUUCUAUUUUGUCGUUUAGAAAACCAGUUUCCUGAGUUGUUAGUCUGAGUAUUCAAAUUGAUCCGCAGAGUUCAGGGCUUCUGGAUGGAAGAGUUUCCUACAACGUCAAAAUCUUAGUACUCUCUACAUAGACUUCAUAAUUAUGCCUGACUUUUUCUGAGGAAUUGUUGAAGUAUGCCUUUUAUUUGGGUUGUUUGUGCAUUUGCAGUGUUGGAGGUGUUAGUGCAAGAUUGUAGAGUUGGAAAGUAUAGUAAAACGUCAGUUGGUGCAGGGACUUGGUGAAGCCAUCAGCCUCGACUGUGUCUGCUUCCCCGAUGGUUUUGACUUCUGACUAGUGAUUCUGAUGCAUAUUACUUGAUGAUUUGGUCUUUGUGGCAACUUUCAGUUUGAACUGGCAUUCAGUGGCUUCAUCCUCUUUGGUGCAGCCUGGAGUUAGUAGUGUGCACAUCUGAAUCUCUUGACUUUUUCCUGAAGCAUAUUACGUGGUUUAUGGUGUCUGCUAACUUGCAUGCGAUUUUGAUGGAAUCUGAUCUUGUUUUUUGCUCCCAGUAUAUACAAAAGGCUAGAAGUAAAUGAUGGAAGAUCCUUUAGUCUCAACGAGGGUUCUACUUUUGUACUCAAAGUUUGUAUAGUAGAUAAUCAAAUUUUGUUCUUUAGCUUGCAAAAUUAUCACCUUAUAGAGAAGUAAAGGUUGCAUUGAGCUCUGAUUAUCUCCACUAGCAGGCAGAAGGCGCGGCGGCAUGCCGCGCCUGAGUUUAAGCCCGUCAUUUAGCAAAUGUGUAGCUUAAUUUAUUGUUGCUUGUAUCUGCUACUAAUAGUUUGUUGUGAAAAUAAUAUAGUGAGCAGUAUGGAUCACUUAGUUAAUUACAUGACUUGGAGGCAUUCAGGAUGCAUGAAAAAGUUCAGCAGGGUGAGCACUGGUCUAAGAGAAGUACACUAUCUAGCUAAUUGAUUUACAGAUGAAGAUAAAAGAGAGAAAGUUGGUGGAGUUGCUUGUGGCUUGUCAGCACUCCGGAUGAUUUGCUAUUGGCCUUCAUGCUUGGAGUCGAGAGAAUAAUUCUUUUAAGCUCUGGUUGUUAUAUAUUCUUGGCAAACCUGAGUGUUUGAGGUUACAUUGGAUCUUCGUGCAGAAAAGAUCCGCUGGCUUUGUAUGCUCUCAUGUACAGUGUGCUCAGAGGAUGGCAGAGUUGCAAUGAUAUUUGUUCGAUGUAUCAUCUGCCAUUGGUAGAGGAUGAAGAACGUGGGAUGGCCAGGCAGCGUGUUGAUCAUCAGGAGUAGCGGUAACUGGUCUUCAUUCUCUAAGUAUUCUGUUGCUCAUACUUGGAAAUGUAAAUUGCUUGGGAUGUACCUUGGCCAUGGCUGUGCAUCUGGACAGUUAGAACAACCAUAUGAUCCUUUUCCAUCUGUUCUCAUUUUCUUCCAGCAAACUUUACAACUCAUAUACCACCGGUAUUUCAGUGACUUUGAUUCUCAGCUUAUAGUAUUUCUUCUGCA